AUGGUGCUGAUCCCUCUCAUCCGGGAUUACAUCGACCGCAUGCUCCAGGACAUCUCCGGCAUGAAGGUCCUCAUCCUCGACCCCCAAACCGUGGGGAUGGUUAGCGUAGUGUACAGCCAGUCGGAUCUCCUGCGGAAAGAGGUGUUCCUCGUGGAGACGGUCGACGACGCCUCCAGCUCCAGGGCGUCCAUGGCGCACCUAAAGGCAGUCUACUUCCUCCGCCCGUCCUCUGACAACGUCCAGAAGCUUCGCCGCCACCUCUCUGCGCCGCGAUUCGCCGAGUGCCACCUCUUCUUCUCAAAUAUAUUGAAGAUUCCACAGAUUCAGGUGCUUGCCGAUUCUGAUGAGCAGGAGGUUGUGCAGCAAAUUCAGGAGUUCUAUGCUGACUUUUGUGCCAUUGAUCCUUUCCAUUUCACUCUGAAUAUACACAAUAACCACAUCUACAUGCUUCCAACGGUGGUUGAUCCUCCUGGUAUGCAAAGCUUCUGCGAUCGAGCUGUUGACGGCAUCGCUUCUGUCUUCCUGGCUCUGAAGCGUCGCCCUGUUAUUAGAUACCAAAGGACAUCAGAUGUCGCAAAAAGGAUUGCACAAGAAACUUCGAGGUUGAUGUAUGAGCAGGAAAGUGGCCUGUUUGAUUUUAGACGAACUGAAAACUCUUCCUUAUUAUUGGUGAUUGACAGAAGGGAUGAUCCUGUUACUCCGUUACUUAAUCAGUGGACAUAUCAGGCAAUGGUCCAUGAGCUUAUUGGAAUUGAGAACAACAAAGUUGAUCUUAAGGAGUUCGCUAAUGUCCCUAAAGAUCAGCAGGAGGUGGUUCUAUCAGCAGUACAAGAUGACUUUUUUAGAGUGAACAUGUUCGAGAAUUUUGGAGACCUUGGUAUGAAUGUCAAAAGAAUGGUAGAUGACUUUCAACAUCUUUCAAAAAGCAGCCAGAAUUUUCAGAGUAUAGAUGAUAUGGCAAAAUUUGUGAGCAACUAUCCUGAAUACCGAAAGACACAUGGAAAUGUGACAAAGCAUGUUGCUUUGGUGAGCGAGAUGAGCAGAAUGGUGGAGGAAAGGAAGCUUAUGCAAGUUUCACAGACGGAACAAGAGCUAGCAUGUGCAAGUGGACAAGCAGCAGCCUUCGAGGCUGUUACUUCCUUACUUAACAAUGAAAGUGUAUCUGAUAUUGAUCGUUUGCGACUUGUAAUGCUCUAUGCUUUGCGGUAUGAGAAAGAGAGUCCAGUUCAGCUGAUGCAGCUUUUCAACAAAUUGGCUUCUCGCUCUGCUAAAUACAAGUCGGGGCUUGUUCAAUUCCUGCUUAAGCAGGCUGGUGUUGACAAAAGAACAGGCGACUUGUACGGGAACCGUGACCUAUUAAAUAUUGCUCGCAACAUGGCUCGUGGACUUAAGGGCGUUGAGAACGUAUACACCCAACACCAGCCUCUGAUCUUCCAAACAAUGGAAGGAAUUGUCAAGGGGCGAUUACGGGAUGCUGACUAUCCACUUGUUGGCAACCAUUUCCAGCAGGGCAGGCCUCAAGAUGUUGUGAUAUUCAUCGUUGGUGGGACAACUUAUGAGGAAGCAAGAUCAGUAGCCCUUUAUAAUGCAGCAAAUCCUGGAGUUCGUUUCUUCCUUGGAGGUUCAGUGGUUCUAAAUUCGAAGAGAUUUCUUGAAAACCUGGGGGAGGCACAAAGAAUAUCGAAGUCUAGCACUCUAUUAUGA
This 1704-nucleotide ribosomal RNA is filed under the name Triticum aestivum (bread wheat). RNAcentral's name for it is "partial small subunit ribosomal RNA". Lineage: Eukaryota; Viridiplantae; Streptophyta; Magnoliopsida; Poales; Poaceae. The record is from RNAcentral.